UGAUUCCUUUUGAAGAAUGGAACUAUGG
RNAcentral lists this non-coding RNA (28 nucleotides) under Cricetulus griseus (Chinese hamster). Lineage: Eukaryota; Metazoa; Chordata; Mammalia; Rodentia; Cricetidae. The record is from RNAcentral.